UUCAGACAACUUUAUAAAUCUGCUCCAAUGUGUCAAAUGAUACAAAAUCAAUGUUAGCACUUCUGAAAAGAAUGGAACCGCGGAAAACAAUAUUCUAUUAUACGGAAUAUUUUAAUAUUUAACGAUUUGUCCAUGAAAAAAUUGCAGUCAAUUUUAAGAAAAUUUUUAUUUGAGGCAGUUUCAAGUACAGACAUACAUUGAUAAGAAAAAGUACUGACCUCUAUCAUGACAUGUUCUGCACACACAAUAUAGGUUUGUUAGAAGGGUCCUCAGUGAUAAGCUGAUGACACCGAGUACUCGUACUGGAAACUGGGUUUUAUGGGGGAGCAGUGAACCAUGAGUAUUAUCAGGGCGCAUCUCCCAAACACCAGGAUAAUCAAUUCCCUAUACUAUGAAUCAGUCAUUGAAAGAAGACCUUCACUGUUUUCUUCCAGAUACUGAUUAUCAGUGCAGGUCAAGUAAUGAUCGUCCAGGAAUCGUACUGUAUGUGAGCAGCCAUACACAUGUAUGGUCAUCCCGUUUUCCAAAGAGCAACUGCAUGCCGACAUCUGGAAAGUUAUGAGAAAUUGAUAAAGAAAAUUAUUAGAAAAAUGCACAAUAAAUUGGCUCAAAAAGGGUUGUUCACCUUUCAGGCAGACCCCUCAGCCUGGUCGGACCUGUGGAGAGAAUCAUACUUACCUGGUCCUUGCCGCUGGGUUCCAGAUCCUUUGUUCCCCUGCCGCUGCUCCAUCAACAUCUAGUGUUAGGAGGGUCGCGCAUGUCCCCCAUGUGAUGUGACACAUAAGGAACACGAGACCGCUGCGGCCAGUCACUGGCUGCAUUGACAACGAGACCCACAUCCAACUGCAUGUUUAUGCGGGGAGAGCAGGGGAAGGGGAGCGAAGGAGUUGGAACCCAGCAGCGGGCAUCAAGUAAGUAUGAUUGUCUUUGUAGGUCUGGCCAGGUUGGGGGGAGUCUGCCUGAAAGGAAAACGGGGGUUGAAAAACCCAUAAAAUGUUCUGGAACCAGAAAACCCCUUUAAGGGGCGGUCCAGUCCUAAGCCAUCAAUACCUGAUCGGCAGCAGAUAAGGAGUAGCUACAAUGCAGGAAAUACAUAGAUCUUUCCAUUGUGCAGUGGACAAAAUGAAUGUGGGUAGAGCUGCAGUAACCAGCUCUGUGGUUUUCUGGCGCCAGAGCUACUACUAAAUAGCUGAGUGGACAACCCCUUUUAGAAUAUGGACAGUUACUUUUAUCUUGGGUAAUUGAGUUUUGGAAGCCUAUUCCUCACACAACUGCAGGAAUUAUUGCUACCCAUCUGUCCAAUAUGACCUUCCAUUUAAUAUUACCAUUCAGUGGUAUAACGAUACAAGGGGGCAGAUACUUUUUCUCACAACAUUGUUUGAAUGUUGGG
Molecule: long non-coding RNA, 1390 nt
Organism: Bufo bufo (common toad)
Lineage: Eukaryota; Metazoa; Chordata; Amphibia; Anura; Bufonidae
Exons: 2
Source: RefSeq, a predicted model, not a curated record